AUUGAACGCUGGCGGCAGGCCUAACACAUGCAAGUCGAGCGGUAACAGGAAGAAGCUUGCUUCUUUGCUGACGAGUGGCGGACGGGUGAGUAAUGUCUGGGAAACUGCCUGAUGGAGGAGGAUAACUACUGGAAACGGUAGCUAAUACCGCAUAACGUCGCAAGACCAAAGAGGGGGACCUUCGGGCCUCUUGCCAUCGGAUGUGCCCAGAUGGGAUUAGCUAGUAGGUGGGGUAACGGCUCACCUAGGCGACGAUCCCUAGCUGGUCUGAGAGGAUGACCAGCCACACUGGAACUGAGACACGGUCCAGACUCCUACGGGAGGCAGCAGUGGGGAAUAUUGCACAAUGGGCGCAAGCCUGAUGCAGCCAUGCCGCGUGUAUGAAGAAGGCCUUCGGGUUGUAAAGUACUUUCAGCGGGGAGGAAGGGAGUAAAGUUAAUACCUUUGCUCAUUGACGUUACCCGCAGAAGAAGCACCGGCUAACUCCGUG
RNAcentral lists this ribosomal RNA (490 nucleotides) under uncultured bacterium. RNAcentral's name for it is "partial 16S ribosomal RNA". It matches the Rfam family "Bacterial small subunit ribosomal RNA", at positions 30 to 507 of the family's 1533-position model. The record is from RNAcentral.